CCUCGAAGGCAUAACCUGUUCCUCUUCUCUCUCGGUUAUUUCUUCUUUUGUCUCUCCCUCCAGAAACCAGAAAAUUUGAUGGUGGUUGAACAAGAGGGAGUUGGAUGAAGAAAGGGGUUUGUUUGUUAAUCAAACAAAUCCUAUGCUGGUCCAAUUCCCUUGUUUUUGUUCAAUUGCUAUCAUUUGUCCAAACCCCCUUCUUCAAUAGCCUGCCUGAAAGGUGAAGACUUUUCUCAACUGAUUGAACAAGAGGGAAUUGGAUGAAGAAAGGAUUUGUUGUUGUUAAUCGACAAGCCCUUUGUUAAUCCAAAUCCCUUUUUUUGGUUCAAUUGGUUCGUUAGCUGCCUGAAAGGUGAAGACUUUUCUCAUCUGAUUGAACAAGAGGGAAUUGGAUGAAGAAAGGAUUUGUUGUUGUUAAUCAACAAGCCCUUUGUUAAUCCAAAACCCUGUUUUUGGUUCAAUUUGUUCAAAGCCCCCUUUUUUGGUUCAAUUUGUUCGAUAGCUGCCUGAAAGGUGAAGACUUUUCUCAUCUGAUUGAACCAGAGGGAAUUGGAUGAAGAAAGGAUUUGUUAUUGUUAAUCAACAAGCCCUCUGUUAAUCCAAAUCCUUUUUUAUUUUUUGGUUCGAUUUGUUCAAAGCCCCCUUUUUUGGUUCAAUUGGUUCAAUAGCUGCCUGAAAGGUGAAGACUUUUCUCAUCUGAUUGAACCACAGGGAAUUGGAUGAAGGAAGGAUUUGUUAUUGUUAAUCAACAAGCCCUUUGUUAAUCCAAAUCCUUUUUUUUUUGGUUUAAUUUGUUCAAAGCCUCCUUUUUCAAUUGAUGUAUAGGGGGUGAAGGCUUUGCUCAUCUGGUACCAAUUCAAUUAGCGAUUUCUAAGAUCUACACACACAUGGUAAACCGUACAGUUCAGAUCUAGAUUCAAUUAGUGAUUUCUAAGAUCUACACACACGGUGAACCGUACACUUCAGAUCUAGAAACGUAACUUGCUGUAUAAAAUUGUAUUUGUUGUGUUCUCAAUUUUUUCUUUGGGCUUUGGGCUUUUUAUGGUCUAAGCCCAAAAGCCUAAGUAUAUAUAUUGCCUUCCUUCUACAUUUAUACCCUAACCCUAACCACCAGAACUUUGAAAGAACUUUGAAUCGUCCAAAAUCGUCCAAAAUGUGUGAAAACACUUCGUCCUUACGAGCUGUCAUGCAGCGGCAACUCAAGACUUCAGAAUCUGACGACGAUGAGGCGCCGGCUAACGUUUCAAAGACUCAGAUCGGUGCUCAUGCUAUGACCGUCGGUUCCUCCUCACGCGCUCUGACCGUCACAGAAUCUGACGGCGAUGAGUUGCCGGUUAACGUCAUCGGGACUCAGAUCGGGACUCAGAUCGGGACUCAGACCGGGGCUCAUGCUCCGACCGUCGGUUCGCCAUCACGCGCUCAGACCGUCGGUUCGCCAUCACGCGCUCUGACCGUCACAGAAUCUGACGGCAAUGAGUUGCCGGUUAACGUGAUCGGGACUCAGAUCGGGGCUCAUGCUCCGACCGUCGGUUCGCCAUCACGCGCUCCGACCGUCGGUUCGCCAUCACGCGCUCCGACCGUCGGUUCGCCAUCACGCGCUCCGACCGUCGGUUCGCCAUCACGCGCUCCGACCGUCGGUUCCCCCUCACGCGCUCCGACCGUCGGUUCGCCAUCACGCGCUCCGACCGUCGGUUCCCCCUCACGCGCUCCGACCGUCGGUUCCUCCUCUGGCGCCCAGUACGGCUGUCUUAGGUCUUGGACUCGCACUGGUGGCCGGCUGGCUAGGAUUCCUGCCUGCGAGCAUCCGAAUCCUUCCGGAGUGGGCCCUAAAAUUUUUUUCUUCUGAUUCACGGUUGUCGUAAGUUGCAGAUUUUGCUGCAGCACUGGGAUAUUCUGAUGUCCGGGUUGCACGUAGCUUGGAUUUGCAUAACAGGGUGCCACAUCCAGGACAGGGCAGAGGUCGUGGAAGAGGCCCAGUAGAGGCCGGGGCCGUGGCAGAGGUUGAGCCAGAGGUUGCAGGGGCAAGUGGGGUAAGAGGCCGGGGCCGGGGCCGUGGCCGUGGCAGGGGAAGGGGUCGGGCAGCGAAGGCUGAGCCAGAGGUUGCAGGUGAAGCAGGGGAAAAUGGGGUACCAGGCCGGGGACGUGGCCGGGGAAGGGGAUGGGCUGCAAGGGCUGAACUUUUGACCGGCGGUUCUUCCUCUGGCGUACUGACCGGUGUGCCACCGUCUGGCCCCUGACCGGCGGUUCCUCUGGCUCCCUGACCGGCGGUUCCUCCUCUGGCUCCCUGACCGGCGUGCCACCGUCUGGCUCCCUGAGCGGCGGUUCCUCCUCUGGCCCCCUGACCGGCGGUUCCUCCUCUGGCUCCCUGAGCAGCAGUUCCUCCUCUGGCUCCCUGACCGUUGGAGAGUCUGCUGAAAGGGGCAGAGGCCGGCGAGGUGUUCCUGGCCGGCAAGGUGUUCCUGUUUCAACAGAGCCAGAGCUGCCAGCUGAAGCAGGGGGCAGGGGCCGUGGACGUGGGAGGGGCAGGGGACGUGGCAGGGGCCGGGGACGAGGUUCGGGCGUAAGUGCGGAAAUUUUUCGUCUGUAUUCUUUAGGUUUUUAUGCGUAGAAGCAUAUCUGAAGCUUUCAUUUGGUUUUUAUGCGUAGAAGCAUAUCUGAAGCUUUCAUUUGACUUGCGUAGAAGCAGAAUUUCUGAUGUUUCCAGUUUUUGGUGCUGCUCCAGAGAAUCCUAUCAGUGCCCUCCUUUUCUGACAAGCAAUGGAUAUACUUGCCACAGCCUACAUUUUUCUGCAGUCUUUUUACUUUUCUAAGUGGCUUGAGACAUUGUUACACUUUUCCAUGUCUCUGUACUUUGCUAAGUGGCUUGAGACAUUGUUACACUUUUCCAUGUCUCUGUACUUUGCUAAGUGGCUUGAGACAUUGUUACACUUUUCCGAGACGACGUUAUUACACUUCCAAUUCUCUUUUUUGUCUUUUAUAAGAAGAGAAUUAGAUACAAUCACCUCUCCUUCCCCCAUGCCCAAGGCCAUCUCUAAUCAAACAGCUCUGCAAAUGUUCGAUGGGAGCCUAGGUUCCCACAAUUUCUCCCUAUUACGUUUUGAGAAGAAGGUGCUUAUUUCA
RNA transcript from Rosa chinensis, 3120 nucleotides. RefSeq lists it as uncharacterized. The transcript has 7 exons. The record is from RefSeq and is a predicted model, not a curated record. NCBI's taxonomy places the organism in Eukaryota, Viridiplantae, Streptophyta, Magnoliopsida, Rosales, Rosaceae.